AGAAUGAACGCUGGCGGCGUGCUUAACACAUGCAAGUCGAACGAGGCGGAAGGGGGCAACUCCUUCCAGUCGAGUGGCGGACGGGUGAGUAACACGUGGGUAACCUGCCCGGAAGUGUGGAAUACCUCGGGGAAACUCGAGCCAAUACCGCAUGACAUCUUCGGGACGACAGUCCUGACGAUCAAAGCGGGGUCGCAAGAUCUCGCGCUACCGGAUGGGCCCGCGCCCGAUUAGCUAGUUGGUGAGGUAACGGCUCACCAAGGCUUCGAUCGGUAACCGGCCUGAGAGGGCGAUCGGUCACACCGGAACUGAGACACGGUCCGGACUCCUACGGGAGGCAGCAGUGGGGAAUCUUGCGCAAUGGGCGAAAGCCUGACGCAGCAACGCCGCGCGGAGGAUGAAGGCCUUUGGGUUGUAAACUCCUGUCGGCUGGGAAGAAAUCGCGCGGUGCUCAUACCACCGUGCGUUGACUGUACCAGCAAAGGAAGCCCCGGCUAACUCUGUGCCAGCAGCCGCGGUAAUACAGAGGGGGCUAGCGUUAUUCGGAAUUAUUGGGCGUAAAGGGCGCGUAGGCGGCCAUGCGUGUCUUCCGUGAAAUCCCUCGGCUUAACUGAGGACGUGCGGAAGAAACUGCAAGGCUCGAGUCCGGGAGAGGGGGGUUGGGAUUUCCAGUGUAGCGGUGAAAUGCGUAGAUAUUGGGAGGAGCACCGGUGGCGAAAGGCGGCCCCCUGGACCGGUACUGACGCUGAGGCGCGAAAGCGUGGGUAGCAAACGGGAUUAGAUACCCCGGUAGUCCACGCCGUAAACGAUGGGCACUUGGUGUCGCGGGUAUCGACCCCUGCGGUGCCGAAGCUAACGCAUUAAGUGCCCGCCUGGGGAGUACGGUCGCAAGGCUGAA
Molecule: ribosomal RNA, 898 nt
Filed under: uncultured bacterium
Lineage: Bacteria
Description: bacterial SSU rRNA
Rfam family: Bacterial small subunit ribosomal RNA
Source: RNAcentral